RNAcentral lists this ribosomal RNA (207 nucleotides) under uncultured bacterium. Its description in RNAcentral is "partial 16S ribosomal RNA". It matches the Rfam family "Bacterial small subunit ribosomal RNA", at positions 568 to 774 of the family's 1533-position model. The record is from RNAcentral.
CGCGUAGGCGGUCCUUUAAGUCAGAUGUGAAAGCCCGGGGCUUAACCCCGGAAGUGCAUUUGAAACUAAGGGACUUGAGUAUGGGAGAGGGAAGUGGAAUUCCUGGUGUAGCGGUGAAAUGCGUAGAUAUCAGGAGGAACACCGGUGGCGAAGGCGACUUCCUGGACCAAUACUGACGCUGAGGCGCGAAGGCGUGGGGAGCAAACA